This 120-nucleotide non-coding RNA is filed under the name Cellulomonas timonensis. RNAcentral's name for it is "S-adenosyl methionine (SAM) riboswitch". It matches the Rfam family "SAM (S-adenosyl methionine) riboswitch aptamer". Rfam says of the family: SAM-IV is a mRNA element that regulates gene expression via direct sensing of S-adenosylmethionine (SAM or AdoMet). SAM-IV riboswitches share conserved nucleotide positions with the previously described SAM-I riboswitches sequence analysis and molecular recognition experiments suggest that SAM-I and SAM-IV riboswitches share similar ligand binding sites, but have different scaffolds. The record is from RNAcentral. Lineage: Bacteria; Bacillati; Actinomycetota; Actinomycetes; Micrococcales; Cellulomonadaceae.
GUCUUGAGUGCCAGUGCUCGCAGGAGCACAGCCCCGGCUUGCUGGCCAGCAACCCCCACGCGUCACGGCGGGGUGCUCCGGGAGACGACCUGGCCGUGUUGAGGGACACGGCAAGCGUGA